RNAcentral lists this ribosomal RNA (504 nucleotides) under Centrophorus isodon (blackfin gulper shark). Its description in RNAcentral is "partial 16S ribosomal RNA". It matches the Rfam family "Bacterial large subunit ribosomal RNA", at positions 1853 to 2551 of the family's 2925-position model. Lineage: Eukaryota; Metazoa; Chordata; Chondrichthyes; Squaliformes; Centrophoridae. RNAcentral also lists the same sequence under 1 other name. The record is from RNAcentral.
UCCCGCCUGCCCUGUGACAAUGUUUAACGGCCGCGGUAUUUUGACCGUGCGAAGGUAGCGUAAUCACUUGUCUUUUAAAUGAAGACCUGUAUGAAAGGCAUCACGAGAGUUUAACUGUCUCUAUUUUCUAAUCAAUGAAAUUGAUCUUCUCGUGCAGAAGCGAGAAUAUUACCAUUAGACGAGAAGACCCUAUGGAGCUUCAAACACUUAAAUUAAUUAUGUAAAAUCAUAAUCCUUAGGGAAAAAUCAUUCAUAUAAUAUUCCUAAUUUAACUGUUUUUGGUUGGGGUGACCGGGGGGGAAAGAAAAUCCCCCUCAUCGACUGAGUACUAAGUACUUAAAAAUUAGAACGACAGUUCUGAUUAAUAAAACAUUUACCGAAAAAUGACCCAGAUUUUUCUGAUCAAUGAACCAAGUUACCCUAGGGAUAACAGCGCAAUCCUUUCCCAGAGUCCCUAUCGCCGAAAGGGUUUACGACCUCGAUGUUGGAUCAGGACAUCCUAAU